Molecule: RNA transcript, 2030 nt
Organism: Cebus imitator (Panamanian white-faced capuchin)
Lineage: Eukaryota; Metazoa; Chordata; Mammalia; Primates; Cebidae
Gene name: X-ray repair cross-complementing protein 6-like
Exons: 1
Source: RefSeq, a predicted model, not a curated record
UCGUCUUCUGUCCAAGUUGGUCGUGUCCCUGCACCAAAGUGAGCAGUAGCCAACAUGUCAGGGUGGGAGUCCUAUUACAAAACCGAGGGCGAUGAAGAAGCAGAAGAACAAGAAGAGGAUAACCUUGAAGCAAGUGGAGACUACAAAUAUUCAGGAAGAGAUAGUUUGAUUUUUUUGGUUGAUGCCUCCAGGGUUGUGUUUGAAUCUCAAAGUGAAGAUGAGUUGACUCCUUUUGACAUGACCAUCCAGUGUAUCCAAAGUGUGUACAUCAGUAAGAUCAUAAGCAGUGAUCGAGAUCUCUUGGCAGUGGUGUUCUAUGGUACCGAGAAAGACAAAAAUGCAGUGAAUUUUAAAAAUAUUUAUGUCUUACAGGAGUUGGAUAAUCCAGGUGCAAAACGAAUUCUAUAGCGUGACCAGUUUAAGGGGCAGCAGGGACAGAAACGUUUCCAAGAGCUGAUGGGCCACGGAUCUAGCUAGUCACUCAGUGAAGUGCUGUGGGUCUGUGCCAACCUCUUUAGUGAUGUCCAGUUCAAGAUGAGUCAUAAGAGGAUCAUGCUUUUCACCAAUGAAGACAACCCCCANUGCACCUGAAGAAACCUGGGGGCUUUGACAUAUCCUUGUUCUACAGAGAUAUUAUCAGCAUAGCAGAGGAUGAGGACCUCAGGGUUCACUUUGAGGAAUCCAGCAAGCUAGAAGACCUGCUGCGGAAGGUUCGCGCCAAGGAGGCCAGGAAGCGAGCACUUAGCAGGUUAAAGCUGAAGCUCAACAAAGAUAUAGUGAUCUCUGUUGGCAUUUAUAAUCUGGUCCAGAAGGCUCUCAAGCCUCCUCCAAUAAAGCUCUAUCGGGAAACAAAUGAACCAGUGAAAACCAAGACCUGGACAUUUAAUACAAGUACAGGCGGUUUGCUUCUGCCUAGCGAUACCAAGAGGUCGCAGAUCUAUGGGAGUCGUCAGAUUAUACUGGAGAAAGAGGAAACAGAAGAGCUAAAACGAUUUGAUGAUCCAGGUUUGAUGCUCAUGGGCUUCAAGCCCUUGGUAAUGUUGAAGAAGCACCAUUACCUGAGACCCUCCCUGUUCGUGUACCCAGAGGAGUCUCUGGUGAUUGGGAGCUCAACCCUGUUCAGUGCUCUGCUCAUCAAGUGUCUGGAGAAGGAAGUCGAAGCAUUGUGCAGAUACACACCCCGGAGGAACAUCCCCCCUUAUUUUGUGGCUUUGGUUCCACAGGAUGAGGAGUUGGAUGACCAGAAAAUUCAGGUCACUCCUCCAGGCUUUCAGCUGGUAUUUUUACCAUUUGCUGAUGAUAAAAGGAAGAUGCCCUUUACUGAAAAAAUCAUGGCAACUUCAGAGCAGGUGGACAAGAUGAAGGCUAUUGUUGAGAAGCUCUGCUUCACAUACAGAAGUGACAGCUUUGAGAACCCCAUGCUGCAGCAGCACUUCAGGAACCUGGAGGCCUUGGCCUUGGAUUUGAUGGAGCCUGAAUAAGCAGUGGACCUGACAUUGCCCAAGGUUGAAGCAAUGAAUUAAAGACUGGGUUCCCUGGUGGAUGAAUUUAAGGAGCUUGUUUACCCACCAGAUUACAAUCCUGAAGGGAAAGUUACCAAGAGAAAACACGAUAAUGAAGGUUCCGGAAGCAAAAGGCCCAAGGUGGAGUAUUCAGAAGAAAAGCUGAAGACCCACAUCAGCAAGGGCACACUGGGCAAGCUCACUGUGCCCAUGCUGAAAGAGGCUUGCCGGGCAUACGGGCUGAAGAGUGGGCUGAAGAAGCAGGAGCUGCUGGAAGCCCUCAUCAAGCACUUCCAGGACUGACCAGAGGCCGUACACACAGCCAUCCUUCCACAGUGUGGCCAGGCUGCCUGGCCUUGUUCUCAGCCAGUUAAAAUGUGUUUCUCCUGAGCUAGAAAGAGUCUACCCGACAGAAGUCGAGGGACUUUAUGUUUUUGAGGCUUUCUGUUGCCAUGGUGAUGGUGUAGCCCUCCUACUUUGCUGUUCCUUACUUUACUGCCUGAAUAAAGAGCCCUAAGUUUGUACUAG